RNAcentral lists this ribosomal RNA (495 nucleotides) under uncultured bacterium. RNAcentral describes it as "partial 16S ribosomal RNA". It matches the Rfam family "Bacterial small subunit ribosomal RNA", at positions 28 to 507 of the family's 1533-position model. The record is from RNAcentral.
GACGAACGCUGGCGGCGUGCCUAAUACAUGCAAGUAGAACGCUGAAGGAGGAGCUUGCUCUUCUGGAUGAGUUGCGAACGGGUGAGUAACGCGUAGGUAACCUGCCUGGUAGCGGGGGAUAACUAUUGGAAACGAUAGCUAAUACCGCAUAAGAGUAGAUGUUGCAUGACAUUUACUUAAAAGGUGCAAUUGCAUCACUACCAGAUGGACCUGCGUUGUAUUAGCUAGUUGGUGGGGUAACGGCUUACCAAGGCGACGAUACAUAGCCGACCUGAGAGGGUGAUCGGCCACACUGGGACUGGGACACGGCCCAGACUCCUACGGGAGGCAGCAGUAGGGAAUCUUCGGCAAUGGACGGAAGUCUGACCGAGCAACGCCGCGUGAGUGAAGAAGGUUUUCGGAUCGUAAAGCUCUGUUGUAAGAGAAGAACGAGUGUGAGAGUGGAAAGUUCACACUGUGACGGUAUCUUACCAGAAAGGGACGGCUAACUACGUG